UUACUUGCAAUUACCAAAAGCGGAGGAAAAGAAACUAACAAGGAUUCCCCUAGUAACGGCGAGUGAAGCGGGAAGAGCUCAAAUUUGAAAUCUGGUAGCCUUCGGUUGCCCGAGUUGUAAUCUAGAGAAGUGUUUUCCGUGCCGGCCCAUGUACAAGUCCCUUGGAACAGGGCGUCAUAGAGGGUGAGAAUCCCGUCCUUGACAUGGACCCCCGGUGCUUUGUGAUACACUUUCAACGAGUCGAGUUGUUUGGGAAUGCAGCUCAAAAUGGGUGGUGAAUUCCAUCUAAAGCUAAAUAUUGGCGAGAGACCGAUAGCGAACAAGUACCGUGAGGGAAAGAUGAAAAGCACUUUGGAAAGAGAGUUAAACAGUACGUGAAAUUGUUGAAAGGGAAACGAUUGAAGUCAGUCAUGCUCUUGGGUCUUCGGACCCUUGAGUGGGGUCAACAUCAGUUUUGAUCGAUGGAUAAAGGCACGAGGAAGGUAGCACUCUCGGGUGAACUUAUAGCCUCGCGUCAUAUACAUUGAUUGGGACUGAGGAACGCAGCAUGCCUUUUGGCCGGGAUUCGUCCACGUACAUGCUUAGGAUGUUGACAUAAUGGCUUUAAACGACCCGUCUUGAACACGGGCCCUAUUC
This 636-nucleotide ribosomal RNA is filed under the name Naganishia albida. RNAcentral's name for it is "eukaryotic LSU rRNA". It matches the Rfam family "Eukaryotic large subunit ribosomal RNA", at positions 30 to 664 of the family's 3401-position model. Lineage: Eukaryota; Fungi; Basidiomycota; Tremellomycetes; Filobasidiales; Filobasidiaceae. The record is from RNAcentral.